RNAcentral lists this ribosomal RNA (1849 nucleotides) under bioreactor metagenome. RNAcentral describes it as "bacterial LSU rRNA". It matches the Rfam family "Archaeal large subunit ribosomal RNA", at positions 1073 to 2987 of the family's 2987-position model. The record is from RNAcentral.
CUACGGGGUAAGCUUGUAGUCCGUAAGGGAGACAACCCAGACCGUGGUUAAUGUCCCUCAAUGUAGGCUAAGUGUCAACACUGAAAGGCGUCCCAGGCCAAAGACAACUGGAAGGUGAGCUCAGAAGCAGCUAUCCUUUAAAAAGUGCGUAACAGCUUACCAGUCGAGGUUUGGGGCACUGAAAAUGGACGGGGCUAAAGCCUACUACAGAUACCACGGACCACACGUUUGUGUGAUGGCGUAGAGAGGCGUGCUGCUUGGGUCGAAGCAGGGGCGUGAGCUCCUGUGGACCGGGUAGUAAUGAGAAUUCUGGCAUUAGUAGAAGCAAAGUUGGGUGAGAAUCCCAACCGCCGGAGGGGCUAGGUUUCCUCGGCAAUGUUCGUCAGCCGAGGGUUAGUCGGUCCUAAGGUGUGUCGUAAUUCGAGCACAUCAACAGGGAAACAGGUUAAUAUUCCUGUACCAUUCAUCCGCAGCGUUAGUUCGCCCUGACGCUUCGGGAUAUGCCUGACAGGGUCGUCGCCCUGUCCAAGCGUUCAAGCUCGUGGAGUACCGCCAUGGUGAGAAGCGAGUGAAGGCGUGAUGGGGUAACCAGGCAAAUUCCUGGAGCCCGUGAAAAGGGGGAUGAAUGACCGUACCGAGAUCUGACACAGGUGCCCCUAGCUGAAGAGGCUAAGGCGUGUCGGUUUAAUCGUGUUAAGGGAACUCGGCAAAUUGGCCCCGUAACUUUGGGAUAAGGGGUGCCUGCCUGGCGAUCAGGCAGGUCGCAGUGACCAGGGGGCUCUGACUGUCUAAUAACAACAUAGGUGACUGCAACUCGGAAACGAUUAGUAUAGUCACUGAUUCCUGCCCAGUGCGAGUAUCUGAACACCGGGUUCAACCGGACGAAGGACUCGUAAACGGCGGGGGUAACUAUGACCCUCUUAAGGUAGCGUAGUACCUUGUCGCUUAAUUGGCGACUUGCAUGAAUGGAUUAACAAGAGCCCUACUGUCCCUAACACGAAUCCGUUGAACAUUUCAUCCUAGUGCAGAGACUAGGGACUCCAGAUGGGAAGUGAAGACCCCGUGGAGCUUUACUGCAGCCUGUCGCUGUGUUACGGUAUUCCUUGCGCAGCGUAGAUGGGAGGCGUCGAACCAUCCCCUCCGGGGGGUGGGGAGCCACCAAUGAGACACCAUCCUUGGUUUACUGUAACACUAACUCAAACUUGAGGACAACGGUAGGUAGGCAGUUUGGGUGGGGCGCCACACCCUCGAAAAAAUAUCAAGGGUGCCCUAUGGUCAACUCAUGUGAGUCAGAAACUCACAGGAGAGUGUCAAGAGCAUAAGUUGGCCUGACGCGAUUACGCAAAGCAAGUAAUCGCGAGAGGAAACUCGGGUCUAACGAACCAAUGAGCCUUAUUGAUGAGGGCCAUUGACGACAGAAAAGCUACCCCGGGGAUAACAGAGUCGUCGCCGGCAAGAGCACAUAUCGACCCGGCGGCUUGCUACCUCGAUGUCGGUUCUUUCCAUCCUGGCCGUGCAGCAGCGGCCAAGGGGAUCGUGAGCUGGGUUUAGACCGUCGUGAGACAGGUCGGUUACUAUCUAUAAGGAGUGUCGGAAGUCUGAAGGCAAGAAUGAAAUAGUACGAGAGGAACUUUCAUUCGGCGCCUCUGGUCGAUCGGUUGUCUGACAAGGCAAUGCCGAGCAGCUACGCGCCAAAAGAUAAAAGCUGAAAGCAUCUAAGCUUGAAACUCAGCCUGAACAAGAGACUUCAUUAAAGAUGCGGGUAAAACACCCGGUUGAUAGGAUUGGGAUGUAAGCACGAAGGCAACGACGUGUUCAGUCCGCGAUUACUAACUAUCUUAAUUACGUC